CAGGGGAUUGCAGUGGCAAAGCUAGGCUAGGUCUUGGAGGCUGGUGUAAGGCGAUGCGGGUGAAGGCAGGAGGCUGAUGGAAAGACUGGGGGGAAGAAAAGCCGAAAUGGAUUCACGGUGCCUUGGAUGAAGGACGAGAGGGGAACUGCAAGCUCCUUCAACUGGUUCUGUCCGGUGAGAAGUGAUCAAGCUUGGGCUGACAAGAGGCUCAGGGAGCCCUCACGUUCUUUCGCUUUUUUACCUGCCAAUCAAACUGCUACAAGACAACACCCUGAUCUGGCAUGGACAUCGCGGGUCCAAGCCUGUAGCCCCAAAUCGGAUAAUCUCUGCAGCUGAUAACAAGCAAAAGAGAAGCCAGGCAACAGCCAUAUUAAAGAAGAAAACAAUCAACUCUGAGUCUCAAUACCUUCACAGAUGUGAAGAACUAGCAACAAAAUGACUUAGACAGCAACGUGAUUCCUAGAGAAUGGCAAGACCAAUUCUUCAACUACUUCUUCAGCAUUUCUGAAACAGUUGGAAGAUGGCCCAUAGUGCUCUCUUAAUUCUUUGAUAAUUUGGACAUUGACCUUUCCAUUAUAUGACCUGGGCUUGUGGGCAUCAUGUCGUAAUGUGCCUGUUCAGACAUCUCCCUGUACCAAUAUGGAUCACUUGAAGAGACUCCUUUGCCUCCAUCAAAAAGGAUACAGUUGUGUA
RNAcentral lists this small RNA (693 nucleotides) under Pongo abelii (Sumatran orangutan). Its description in RNAcentral is "sense overlapping". The stretch from base 14 to 289 matches the Rfam family "SOX2 overlapping transcript exon 3". Lineage: Eukaryota; Metazoa; Chordata; Mammalia; Primates; Hominidae. The record is from RNAcentral.